Molecule: ribosomal RNA, 253 nt
Filed under: uncultured bacterium
Lineage: Bacteria
Description: partial 16S ribosomal RNA
Rfam family: Bacterial small subunit ribosomal RNA
Source: RNAcentral
UACAGAGGUCUCAAGCGUUGUUCGGAUUCAUUGGGCGUAAAGGGUGCGUAGGCGGCGCUGUCAGUCGGGUGUGAAAUCCCAGGGCUCAACCCUGGAACUGCGCCCGAUACUGCAGUGCUUGAGGGAGACAGAGGUAAGCGGAACUGAUGGUGGAGCGGUGAAAUGCGUUGAUAUCAUCAGGAACACCAGUGGCGAAAGCGGCUUACUGGGUCUCUUCUGACGCUGAGGUACGAAAGCCAGGGGAGCGAAGGGG